Molecule: non-coding RNA, 136 nt
Filed under: unclassified sequences
Also listed under: 1 other name
Description: Polynucleobacter-1 RNA
Rfam family: Polynucleobacter-1 RNA
Source: RNAcentral
GGCUUGCACAGGCCAAAAUCGUGUGCCCUAGACCUGGAUCUCGGAUCACAGGGAUGGAAGACUCACCGCGCUAGUGAGCACUCAGCAACUAUCCUUGACCGGACGACGAUCGCUAAUUGCCGCGGUUUUGCUGUUU